RNAcentral lists this small nuclear RNA (197 nucleotides) under Marchantia polymorpha subsp. ruderalis. Its description in RNAcentral is "U2 spliceosomal RNA". It matches the Rfam family "U2 spliceosomal RNA". Rfam says of the family: U2 is a small nuclear RNA (snRNA) component of the spliceosome (involved in pre-mRNA splicing). Complementary binding between U2 snRNA (in an area lying towards the 5' end but 3' to hairpin I) and the branchpoint sequence (BPS) of the intron results the bulging out of an unpaired adenosine, on the BPS, which initiates a nucleophilic attack at the intronic 5' splice site, thus starting the first of two transesterification reactions that mediate splicing. The record is from Rfam by way of RNAcentral. Lineage: Eukaryota; Viridiplantae; Streptophyta; Marchantiopsida; Marchantiales; Marchantiaceae.
AUACUUGUCUCGGCCUUUGGGCUACGACCAAGUGCAGUCUCUGUUCUUAUCAGUUUAGUUUAUGAUACGAGGGUCAUCAAAACUUACGAUAUUGAUCUGAUUUAUCUCACGAGUGCAAGUCCAAAGGUGCAGCCUGCUGCGAUGGACUCGCACCAGUCGCCUGGGUAUUGCACUAAUUCUUCGGCGGCUCAAUCGUC